UACGUAGGCAGCAAGCGUUGUUCGGAAUUACUGGGCGUAAAGAGUGUGUAGGCGGCGCUCCAAGUCUGGUGUGAAAUCUCCCGGCUUAACUGGGAGGGUGCAUUAGAAACUGGAAUGCUAGAGGAUGGGAGAGGUAAGCGGAAUUCCUGGUGUAGCGGUGAAAUGCGUAGAUAUCAGGAGGAACACCUGUGGUGUAGACAGCUUACUGGACCAGUUCUGACGCUGAGACACGAAAGCGUGGGUAGCAAACAGG
This 253-nucleotide ribosomal RNA is filed under the name uncultured bacterium. RNAcentral's name for it is "partial 16S ribosomal RNA". It matches the Rfam family "Bacterial small subunit ribosomal RNA", at positions 524 to 776 of the family's 1533-position model. The record is from RNAcentral.